Long non-coding RNA from Ictalurus punctatus (channel catfish), 7238 nucleotides. Lineage: Eukaryota; Metazoa; Chordata; Actinopteri; Siluriformes; Ictaluridae. The record is from Ensembl.
CGUAACUAUGCAAUGACUGCUAAUAUUUUCAUGCCGAAUCUCUAUACGGAAAUUGCAAACCAUAAAAACGCGUACAGCGUUCUCCUUUAAUUGAAAUACUCGACGGUAGCCAUAACGUCAGUAAGAAAUCAUUCAGUAAAAUCAACCUCUCGCUAGAUACAUUACCACACAUCACAGAAGCCUUCCUGUAAGCAGUGCCUGUGUUUGGAGAAUAAAAUUGUUCAAGGGUGAUGCUGAGUUCAAGCCCACGCUUUUAGGACAUUAGGGAAUUAGCUUAGUUAGCAAUCCUGAAUCAGAAGAACGCAGCUGGUGUUUUUAUAAUAUGUUUCUCGUUUGGAACUGAAAUAUUAUGCUUUCCCCCCAUUUGUCAUUGGAUUUCUUUGGGGGGGGGGCUACAAUAUAUUUCACAAGAACCAGAAAGCUGAAAGGCUCAACUCCUGAAGAGGAAAACUCUGUAGAAAUCAGACAGUUAGCGAGCUAGCUAGCUAGCUAGUUUAACAGACAUGCUAAGAUGGAAGAGGAACAACGCGUAGUCUGGCUGAAUAGCAAGACAUUUAUUUAUUUAUUUAUUUAUUUAUUUAUUACAUUUUUGAUUUAGAACUUUUUAAAAAAACCCUCGUCUUAUAUCCCUCGUGAAACGCUUGAACAUGGCUGACGUUUUUCACAUUCUUGCCUUGGGCUCCCAUCACCCUGUCGCUGGUUCUCCGGUUGUACCUUCCUUGGACCACUUUUGGUAGGUACAAACCACUGCAUACCGGGAAGAGCUCACAAGAUGCUCAGACCCGGCCGUCGAGGCAUCACAAUUUGGCUCAUAUCAAAGUCACUCAGAUCCUUAUGCUUGCCCAUUUUUCCUGCUUCCAACACAUCAACUUUGAGAAAUGACUUUUCACUUGCUGCCGAAUAAAUAUAUCCCACUCCUUGACAGGUGCCACCGUAACGAGAUAAUCAAUGUUAUUCACGUCACCUGUCAGUGGAUUUAACGUUAUGGCUACUCCCUUUAUAUACUUGUCUAAUGUUAGUUACGCUACCUACAAUUCAUUUCUCAAUAAUGAAUAGACACUAUUCACCGUGACAGAAAGCGAGAAUGCCAAGUCAGGGACUUUCAAGCGGGAAAAACUGAAUCGAGAUGAGAGUACCAAAAAAGAAAAAAGAAAAAAAACAUAACGAAGGUGAGAUGAGGAGAAGGGGGUGGGGCUUGCUCUAGGUGUUUUUCUUUGUAUAUGUGUAUGUUCAUCCUCGAUUAUUUAUCACAUCUGUGGAACACUGCAUGAGUUAUCUACUGUUAUACAAAUGUCAUUCAGCACAGCUAUUCUUCAGGCUCAACUGCCUCAAGGGCCGCCACAACCUUUAAAUCCAUCACACACACACAAAACUACAGAGCUUUUUCUAUCUGAACCAACACUUCACAAUACAAUUAAAAUACAAACGCAUGAACUGCUCCAUGCCUGUCUAACAGCACACACACACACACACACACACACACACACGCACACAAAAUGCAAGCGACUAAGGUCAGUAAUUCAGCUGCCACAGAUCACAUCCAAUCAAAUCCCAGUCAAUUCCUUCGAGGGUAGAGAAAAGACGUAGCCUCCAUUUUAAAGAAAGUUAGAGACAGGGCAGGUCAGUGAAUCUCCAGCGCGUUACGUUUGGCAUAAAUAAAUUCAGCCCAAGACGAUGCAAAAAUUCAUGUUCUAACACGAGACAGCUACUUCAAUGCAUGACAGGAAGUAGAGAAAAAAAAGUCGGGAGAAAAUGUACAAACGCUAACCCUGAUUCUUGCAAACAAUUCUUAGCUUUUCAUACAUUUGCAAUACAUGACUGGGGGGGGGCGGGGGGGGGGGGGGGUUUCAUGCAAAAUCAGUUGUAAAGUCUGCCUACUCGGUGGCCAUCUUGGCAAACCAGACAGGGUUUGAAAUGGUCGCCACGUGUAAAUAAUGAAAAAUGUCAGGUUUCUCUGGCUACUGUUCAAUAACACCAGAACACAGGAUAGCCUGUUUGUUAUAAUGCUAGUUAGUAGAUUAGUCUGUUUAUUAUAAUGCUAACUUUCGAGUUAUCCUGUUUACUUUGAAGCUACUUUAUGCAGUAUUUAGCACCUAUAAGAUACAAUGUUUACUAUAAGGUUCAUUUAUGUUUUAGCCUGUUGUACUGUAAUGCCAUUUCUAGAGUUAUCCAGGUCACUGUAAUGUAGUCCAUGGGUUAGCCUGCUUACUAUAAUGCUAGUAAUACAGUUAGCCUGAUCACUAUAAUGCUAAUCCAUAGCUUAGCCAGUUUACUGUAAUGCUGGUUUAUAUUUUAGCUUGUUUAAUAUAAUGCUAGUUUAUAUUUUAUCUAGUUUACUAUAAUUGUAGGACAAGCUCUUUACUGUAAAACUAGUUCUUGGGUUAGCUGGUUUACUAUUAUGGUAGAAUAUAUUUUAGUCUUUAUACUAGAAUUAUAGGAUAGUUUAUUUUACACCUAAUUUAUGAUUUAGCAUGUUUAUUCUAAUGCUAUUUCUAGAGUUAGCCUGGUCACUAUAAUGAUAGCCUGUUUACUAUAAUUCUAGUUUAUGUUGUAGUCUCAUUUAAUGUAAUGCUAGUUAAUACUUUUACAUCUUUUUAUAUGUCUUUUUAUAUAAUGCUUGCUAGUUUGUGGGUUAGUUCAUUUAAAUGAAAAAUGCUAGUUUAUAUUUUAAUUUGCUUACUAUAUAAUGCUAGUCUGUAGGUUAUCCUCUUUAAUGCUAGUCUGUAGGUUAUCCUCUUUACGAUAAUGCUAGUCAGUAGGUUAUCCUCUUUACGAUAAUGCUAGUCAGUAGGUUAUCCUCUUUAAUGCUAGUCUGUAGGUUAUCCUCUUUACUAUAAUGCUAGUCCGUAGGUUAUCCUCUUUAAUGCUAGUCUGUAGGUUAUCCCCUUUACUGUAAUGCUAGUCUGUAGGUUACUGUAGCCUCUUUACGAUAAUGCUAGUCUGUAGAUUAGCUCCUUUACUACAGGGCUAGUUUCUAUUUUAUUUGUUUACUAUAAUGCUAUUUUGUAGGUUAGCUCGUUUACUACAAUGCUAUAAUCAAUUUGGCAUAAUAAACUGAUUAACCCAAAUGAUCAAUCCAAAUACAUCUCUGCAGGAGUCCACCAACCACUCACUGCCUCGCGUUGCAGUUUUUGCAGAUAUUCUAAUAAUUUGUCGGUUUUCAUGGUUCAGAAAUAGAACGGCCGGUAUUUUUAUGCCAGCAUGCAGAAUGCUGAAAUUGAUCCCAGGAGCUUCUGUUCUAUUUAACCUACUUAAGCAUAAGCGUGUGCAGAAGCCUCAGGGAUUUAACAUUUCCAAGUGUCAAAAUGAAUUAAGCAUCACAGAUACUACUUAAAUCUCUCUCUCUCACUCUCUCUCUCUCUCUCUCACACACACACACACAGAGUAAUAAAAGUUUGUAUUUGAUAUUUAUGCGCUCGGUGCACAGGAAGAAAAGAGAAAUGGAGAAGCAACCUUGGGAAUCCCUUAAUAUUUUGAAUUUUGAGUUGUUGAUGACGAUCAUGUACACAGAAUGGGAGGGAAAGGCAGGGAGGAAAUGUACUUAUUUUCAUUUUUUAAAUACGUGACACCAUUACACUUCACUUGUCCCUAUGUAGCUUUAAUUCACACCUAAGUCUCUCCUAUCAGAUUAACGAAGAGAAACACAGGCAUUUUAUCAUUAUCAGUGGUUGCCUAGGGACAGUGGAUGGAUGAUCACCGAGCGAUGAGCGUGAAGAGGUGCUGUGCGGUCAGACAGCAGACUGAGGUCAGAUUCAUUUUCCUGCCUGGUCAAUAAACACCAACAUGUCAAGCCAUCACACACAACUCCAUUGUUCAUUUCACACAAACUCAUUUAGAGUGUGUCAGUCCAAAUGGUGCUACAGUCGCUUCAUUAAUCCCUGAUUCACUCUUCUCAAACUUCUGAAGGCCUUGAAUUUUCAGAACGGUAGUACUAUCGCCAUGAUUUAUCAGGCUAGCCAUUCAACAGGAAGUAGUGAGGAUGCGGCAGUUUUCGGUGAUGAUACAGAAUCACACCAUCUCAGCAGAUUGCGAGUCGAGAUUAGCGGCCUUAAAAGGGUAACACGAUCCUCUCAUCACCGGGGACAGCCAAUGCCAAAGUUCUGUCAGUGUCAGAAAUGUUUUAUUCAAAUCUCAGCUGCUAUGGCGCUCGUCUAAAAGCCACCAAUAAGAGGACAGCAGUAGCAGGAUUUAACGAAACUCACACAGCUACAAACAUGGGAGCUGAAAUGGUGAAGCGUAAACGAAACAUGGGACGACUCUUUGCUUUUGUAAAAUGUUUUUACUAGACAUAACAUCGUCCGGUUUGGUGAAAUAAAUACUUCUAGUUCUUCAAGCUGAUGUGUCAAGGUUAUAGACAGUCCAUUACACAUACAGUAUACAAGACAAUAAAUACAAAAAGUACAAGACAUUGUGUGCAGACUGUAAUCACAGAUAAUAAAAAUGGUCAAUUAGCCUAUUAUUGUUCUUGCCUUGAGCAGUGCAGAGAUAUGAAAUAGAGCCGCAUGAUAUUACACAGUUCACAGAUGUAGACUGUUGCCCUAAUAGACUUCAGUGAUGUUCAUAUCUGCAUAUCUUUGCACUUCAGUCUGUCUGCAGGGAAACCGGAAAGCAUCGUCGUACAGUACAAGUAACCUGAUAAAACACCUUACGGCAUUUAAGCAGCAUCUUUAAUAGACAGUGUGAGGAUGUAUCGGGAGCAGUAUCAGUGAGCGUAAUCGUUCAAAAUUAGAACAUGGUAUCAAAGAAACAUCAAUCCCGCCGACCAUCCAUCCAUUUUCUGUACCGCUUAUCCGACACAGGGUUACAGAUGAGCCUGGAGACUAUCCCAGGGAACUCGGGGAACAACGCAGGGGACACCGUGGACGGGUUGCCAAGCUAUUGCACGGCACAAUCGCACACUACGGGCAAUUUGGAAAUGCCAAUCAGCCUACGGUACAUGUCUUUGGACUGGGGGAGGAAACUGGAGUACCUGGAGGAAACCCCCGAAGCACAGAGAGAACAUGCAAACGCCACGCAUACAUGGUGGUGGCAGGAUUCAAAACGCCAACCCUGGAGGUGUGAGGCAAACAUGCUAACCACUAAGCCACCGUGCAGUAUAUCACAUACGAUGAUAUUCUAUGUUACCAUGUAGUAUUGGUCCUGUAAUGAUGCAUCCCUAAGUGAAACGAUUAGAUCGAUUCCCAUUACAAGUGGGUGUUUUUCUUGUCAGGCUUUUGAAAGUGCAAAUUCAAAAAGCCGACGGAGACCCCAUUCAUGCUUGGCUUUGGUUUGUCUGUGCGUAGACUAUGAGCAUGCCUGGCUGGAGAGUCGUCGUCAGCAUCGGUAUGACAUCAAUAAAUGGUGAGUCAAACAGCUAGCUACUGCGCUUGAAAGAGCGACAAAACACUUUUAGACUAAUGGCAAGCCAAAAACGCAAUGCCUAAUGCAGGAUCAAGCAUGGACCAAACAGGAAAAGCAGGCACUUAUACCCAGUCAGUCAAACCUGUCACAGUCCAGCCAAUCGUCUGUAAUGUAUUUGUGUCAGUAUCCACUCUCGGCCAUGUUCUGAUGAUGGUUUUGCAGUUCUGUCCUCUGACACACUGGCCACUUUGUAUUCAGCAUGGGAGCUGCUGCCGUUAAUUAGCCUCUGUCUGUCGCUGAGCAGAACCAGCAUAAAUCAAGCCUGCUCUUGCCAGGCCUCAUUAGGGCGCUUUGAGUGACGCUGAGACGGCACAAGGCCAGGCGUUUAAGUCGGAGCACACCCAGCGCUGUUUUUACAGCUCACUUCAGAGCAAUGGAAGGAUGGAGCGGAACGGAGGGGAGGGGAGUCCAAAUGGACUUUUUGGCAAAUGGUUUUGGCGAAAAUAAAUAAAUAAAUAAAAAAUGGGAGCACUUCAAGCACUUCGCUUCCAAAUCUAGCCGGAUAGCAGAUGGAAUAGGAUUGGGGUUAGGCAAAAUUUUCGGAUCGGUUACAGCAAUGGCGUCUACUGUGUGCUAAUAAUGGCCCAAAUUAAUUAUGGCUGGUGUUGAUAUUAGAUGUGAGGGCGAAAAUCUAACAUCUAUCAAUAGCUCAACAAUAAAUCUAGGUCUCAUCGAUGGCAUAAUACGAACGAUAUGGAGCAAAUGAUCACACACAUACACACACUUAACAGCAAAUAGUCAUGAUUUCUAAUUUCUUUCAAAGAGUUUCCGGUCUCUAAAGUGUCCGUAGUGUAUGAAUGGGUGUGUGAGUGUGUAUGUGAUUGUGCCCUGCGAUGGACUGGCACCCUGUCCAGGGUGUACCCCGGCUUGUGCCCGAUGCUCCCUGGUUAGGCUCCAGGUUCCCCUGCGACCCUGAAAAGGAGUAAGCAGUUGAAGAUGGAUGGAUGGAUGGAUGGAUGAGUUUCUGGUCUGUAGUAAUGCCCUACUAGGUUCAUGCCAUAUUUCCUUUGCAGAACAAACAUGAAAAAAGUUGUAACCACAAGCCACCAAAACACCUUCAUUGCACCUUGGCAUCAAUUCUACACGUCUCUGGAACUGUACUGGAGCAUUGAACACUGCUCUUCCAGAAGAUCCUCAAUAUGGUGUUUUCAUAAUAGUGGUGAAGAGCGCUGCCUACUGUAAAGCAUCGAUCCAAAAUCUCCCAACCUGGGUUGAGAUCUGGUGACUGUGAAAACUAUAAUGUGAUUUAUUUCAUUUUCAUCCUCACCAAACCAAUCAGUGAGUAUCCCUUGUGUCACAUGGAUUGAGGGCAGAGGCAUCCUGGAAGAGGCCAUUCCCAUCAGGAUAGAAAUGGAAAUGUAGGAUAAACAUUAAAUCAAUAAUUGCCCUCCAGAGCAUAACAGAGCCACUGGGCACUUUUUAAAAAAAAUAUAUUAUUCCCCUUUAAUUUGUCAUUCAUCUGUAUUGUCUAAUUAUAAAUGUGCAAAGAAUGCAAAGUCUUCACUAACUGAUAACAAGAAAACAGAAUUACGUCUUGAUUGUCCAGCGAUUCAUUUAUUUAUUUUUUUAGUUACUUUUCUUUGUUUCUCAACUUGUUCAGUCAUGCCAUUUGAUGUCUCCAAACUGUGUCCAAACUUGACAUUCAACCAAACCAAUGUUUCUGUGGCAACCAGAAAGGAGCAUGAGUCAUGUGGGGAAUGAGGUGGCCCACUAAACUGGAGCUCCACAUCUCAUGGGCUGGAUAUCACCUCAGAUAUCCAAUAACACUCAUCAAAAGCUAUCAUGAAAUGUCACUGCUUAAGUUUCGAGAGGUGUCCAUUACAGUAUAUUGAACAUUU